RNA transcript from Erinaceus europaeus (western European hedgehog), 1838 nucleotides. It is a transcript of the gene named calcium binding tyrosine phosphorylation regulated, with no coding region annotated. The transcript is spliced from 6 exons. NCBI's taxonomy places the organism in Eukaryota, Metazoa, Chordata, Mammalia, Eulipotyphla, Erinaceidae. The record is from RefSeq and is a predicted model, not a curated record.
GCCGGCCAAUCAGAGCCUUCCUCGAGGAGCAGGUCUUUGUGACACAAGGUCUGACGUCUCUGGAGGGUAUAAAAGAACCCUCGGGCUCAGGCGCCCCUCCAGGAGCCACCGGCAAGGGGGCAACGUCUUUAGAGCCUCGCCGGAACGAAGUUGAGAAUAUAGACAUCCUGCCAAAAUGAUUUCUUCAAAGCCCAGACUUGUCGUACCUUAUGGCCUCAAGACUCUGCUGGAGGGAGUUAGCAGAGCUGUUCUCAAAAUAAAUCCACCAAACAUCACUCAAUUUGCAGCAAUUUAUUUUAAAGAACUUAUUAUGUUUAGAGAAGGAAAUAAUUGUCUGGAUAUAAAAGAUCUGGUUAAACAAUUUCAUCAGAUUAAAAUAGAGAAGUGGACAGAAGGAACGGCACAAGAGAAGAAACCAGAAUGUGUAAAAGGACCAGAAAAGAUACCUGUAGUUCCUCAAGAACCUGAACGGAUGGAAAAAUCUACGGACACAGAGGAAGACAAUAUAAUGGCACCACUCUUCAGCCACAAAACCACUCAGUUCCCAUCUGUUUAUCCUGCAAACAUAGAGUAUGAGGAGCCGGCCGAAGCGGUUAGUGGCUUGAAAUCAGCCACGCCCAAGACCGCCAGCCCGUCCUCAUCGCCGCCUCCAGCAGCUGUCUCUCCAGAGCUUGCCUAUGUUCCAGCUGACCCAGCUCAGUUUGCAGCUCAGAUGUUAGGUAACGUUUCAUCUAUUCAUUCUAAUCAAUCUGACGUUUUAAUGGUGGAUGUAGCAACAAGUAUGCCUGCCAUGUCCAACGAGGUGCUGUACUCAGAGGCUGCUGAAGAUGGCGUGGUGGCCCCUCCUGCGCUGCACGCUGCAGAGGUGGCAUCAGAGCAGGGUCUGAGGCAAACAUCUAUCCAUGUAGAUUCAGGUUCUAAAGGCUUUGAGGCUGAACCAUCAACGUUCCCCUUGCAGGAUGAACAAGAACCUCCUGCUAAUGCUCCAGUUCCCGAGGUCCCUUUGCAGUCUGACACGCAGGUCACAUCAGCCGUAUCAUCUGUCUAUACAGAGGAGCCUGUGGUUGGAGGAGCUGAGUAUGUGGAGCAAGUGUCAGAACCAGUAGCCGUCCCUCGCAUAUCAUCAGUCUAUAAUGAUGAGCCCGUGGUUGAAGGAGUCACUUACGUUGAGCAAAUGCCAGAACAAGUAGCUGCCCCUCUUACUGAUUACUUUGCUCGUCUUAAAGGAAAUGAGCAGUCACCACAAGUUAGUCCCAGACCCGUAGUAGACCAGAAAGCCUCAGUCCUGUCUCAGAAAUCUGAGGGUUCUGCAAAAGGUUCACAAGAGAAUGUGACAUAUGAUUCCUCAGUGCAUGUGGAGGCAGAAGCGACAAUUAUACUAUCUGGCACCUCUCUGAAAGGUCAGCCUGAACAAAUCCUGGAAGUAGACAGCUCUGCCAAAACAGUAAGCUCUGAAAAGUCUCUGCAGCUAGAAGUGGAGAUCAUUGCACAGGUCCCUAGCAAAACUGGGCAGGAGUCAAGGGCAAGCUCUGCGACUCAGGAGAUGGAGGCCUACUCUGUGUCCUCGGGGCUGGCUGCACAGGCAGCACCCUCGGGCACUUCUGUAAAGGCAGCCCGUGGCUCCUUCCCUCCUGUUCCAGAAGGUCUUGCGGAACCGGAAGGGGAAGCAGCACCUGACGAGGUUUGAUGGACUCAGAAACUCUUCCAACUUGGACUCUUACUAGAACCAAAAUGAAGUACUAUUCAAGCAGCAAUAGCAGCAAGCGAAGCAGGACAACCACCACCAUAUUCUAACAUGUGGACCCUUUAUUGUCUAACUGAUAUGAAUCAACAAAGUC